CGUGCCGGGGUCGCGGUCACCGGCGGCGGAUCGCUGAUGCCGAUCCCCGAACUGAUCCGGCUGGCCGCCGCAGCCCAGCACUACC
This 85-nucleotide transfer RNA is filed under the name Mycolicibacterium parafortuitum. RNAcentral describes it as "tRNA-Ile". Lineage: Bacteria; Bacillati; Actinomycetota; Actinomycetes; Mycobacteriales; Mycobacteriaceae. The record is from RNAcentral.